AGAGUUACGUUAGAAGGAAAUAACUUCCUUUUCAUGAAAGAUUAGUAGCAUGAAGUUCACACUGGCAACAGUUAUCAAAGGCAUAUGACCGUUAUAAUAAAGGCUGUUCGCUGCGCCAACGUUUCUAACACAUGCAGCUUCCUGGAAGGGCUGAUAAAUGACUCCUGCACAAUUUUUCAAGGCUAUUAACUUGAGUGCCUUUUUAUUCAGUCUCAUUACUUUUUAAACAGCCAUAGGAAGUCACAAGGAGGUUUCUAAAAUCCAAACAUCUCUGGAAGGGUCAACAUGAAGAGUGCCUGCAGAUGACAUCAACUUUGCCAAGGGGUUUCUGGCUAGAGGAGGUUCUCUUUGAGACGGUGCAGGAAUGACAGGACAAGAAAUGUGACUUCAAAGCUUCCCAGUAGGCAUCUGGAAGGCGGAUUCCCUGUGAAAAUGCCAAAACUGGCAUCAUACUCUCAUCAUCCAGACUUCACUUUCUUAUUAGCUGGCAGUUGUGUUAUUAAGAUGAAACCCAUACUCCACCAGCAUUGUUGAAUAGAGGACUUGUAAAUAAUAGAUAGCUUAUAUGGUCCCAUCAAGGCACAGAGAGAGCGAAAGAUGAAAGUGAUUUUCACCACGCAUGCACACCGUGGUAUUCCAUUGACUUUGAGUUGUCAUUUGAUCUGAAAGUAAAGAGAUGAUUUUGACAUCUGCUGCUGAUCAAAGCAUUGCUUGGUGAAUUGUUUGCCUUGUAGUUCUCUAUGUGGCAUCCCCAUCUAAACAGGUAUUCCACACUGGACCUGCUACUAUCAUUAGUGAAGGUUAAGACUGUUCCCAAUACACUCUGCAGAUUCAAAACCUGUAAUCAUAUGCAGAUACCGCAGUCCUUAACUGCUUCAUAACCAAGCAUACAGUAGAUAGUUAUUAUUUCUCAGCUUCGCUCCGAAGUUAACAUUAAAUCAAAACCUACUCAGAAAUCAUUCUGGUUGUUCUUAACCAUUCUUAAUUUUGUUUUCAUUUUCAUUCGUCAGAAUAAAAUCUGCUCCCCUUCUAAAACAUCUUUCUUUUUCGGCUGAUCUCAUUUACGCCAGGUCUUACUGUAACUAAUAACUAAGUUCCUAUUAAGACAAUAUUUUAGAACACUGUUUAUGCCGUUUUUAAGCAGUCAU
Molecule: long non-coding RNA, 1148 nt
Organism: Carassius auratus (goldfish)
Lineage: Eukaryota; Metazoa; Chordata; Actinopteri; Cypriniformes; Cyprinidae
Exons: 3
Source: RefSeq, a predicted model, not a curated record